Molecule: ribosomal RNA, 460 nt
Filed under: Streptococcus sp. oral taxon A95
Lineage: Bacteria; Bacillati; Bacillota; Bacilli; Lactobacillales; Streptococcaceae
Description: bacterial SSU rRNA
Rfam family: Bacterial small subunit ribosomal RNA
Source: RNAcentral
GACGAACGCUGGCGGCGUGCCUAAUACAUGCAAGUAGAACGCUGAAGGAGGAGCUUGCUUCUCUGGAUGAGUUGCGAACGGGUGAGUAACGCGUAGGUAACCUGCCUGGUAGCGGGGGAUAACUAUUGGAAACGAUAGCUAAUACCGCAUAACAGUAGAUGUUGCAUGACAUUUGCUUAAAAGGUGCAAUUGCAUCACUACCAGAUGGACCUGCGUUGUAUUAGCUAGUUGGUGGGGUAACGGCUCACCAAGGCGACGAUACAUAGCCGACCUGAGAGGGUGAUCGGCCACACUGGGACUGAGACACGGCCCAGACUCCUACGGGAGGCAGCAGUAGGGAAUCUUCGGCAAUGGGGGGAACCCUGACCGAGCAACGCCGCGUGAGUGAAGAAGGUUUUCGGAUCGUAAAGCUCUGUUGCUAAGGAAGAACGAGUGUGAGAAUGGAAAGUUCAUGCUGUGA